GACAGAGGGUGCAAACGUUGUUCGGAAUUACUGGGCGUAAAGCGCGUGUAGGCAGCCUCGCAAGUCGGGUGUGAAAUCUUGGAGCUUAACUCCGAAACUGCAUUCGAUACUGCCGUGCUUGAGGACUGGAGAGGAGACUGGAAUUUACGGUGUAGCGGUGAAAUGCGUAGAUAUCGUAAGGAAGACCAGUGGCGAAGGCGGGUCUCUGGACAGUUCCUGACGCUGAGGCACGAAGGCCAGGGGAGCAAACGGG
Molecule: ribosomal RNA, 253 nt
Filed under: uncultured bacterium
Lineage: Bacteria
Description: partial 16S ribosomal RNA
Rfam family: Bacterial small subunit ribosomal RNA
Source: RNAcentral